GUCUCCGAAACGGGAGGGUGCCUGAAGAAUCCUCCUGUGUUUACCCAAGAGCAGGGAAGUCUUACCGACAAACCACAGUUCCAGAGUCCUCCUCACUGAGCAGGAAGCCCAAGGGCUGAGGCGGCCGCACAAUGAUGGGAGGGGCUCUCUGGCUUUGCAAGGGCAGGUGUCCUCCUGCUGACAGUGUGGAGGGUGGUGGCAGGGACCACUGGUUCGUGGUUGGCUCGGGGAGAAAGGAGGAAGGAGAAUGAGGUCAAGGGGAGACUCUGCACCCCAGAGACGGCUUUGUCCACCUGCAAAAUUAAAAACUCACAUCCCUGCAGUUCUCUUGUGGUGCCACGGGUGAAGGAUCUGGUGCUGUCCCUGCAGUGGCUUGGGUUGCUGCUGUGGUUCGAGUUUGAUCCCUGGCUUGGGGAGUUCUGCAGGCUGUGAGUGCGGCCAAAAAGGAAGAAAAGUCCACACCCAUGAAUGCUUAUUCGACUCUGGGCAAGGGAGAGCCGCUGGGCACAGUGAUGUGAGCCACAGGGAAAAGCCAGCAGGGGACCGGGGCUCAGAGGAUAAAGUGGGGGCAGGAUGGGAGCAGUGAGGCAGUGAGGCACAGUCCUGGAGAGAGCGAGAGAUGUGGCAGCCAAGCUCCCUGGAAGAUGCUAGAAUCCAGGCUCUGGAACCGCAGUGUGGUUGGCGGGCAGUGGUGCCUCCCCUGGGCCUCAUUAGAGUUACCUGGGGACUUUGCUCUGAUGUUGGGCCCUUUUCCAAGUGAGUCUGUGUAAUCGGCUUGGGCUUUGGCCCAGGUGAUUCUCAUGUGCCAGCUGCUUAUGAAGGAAGGGGCAGUGCCUCCUGCGGAGGUGGCGGGAGAGGAGGCUGACGGGAAACCGAAGGAGAGUCCUACAUGUAUCAUUUGUUUUUCCAGCUCUUUCAACCACAUUUCUCAGCCUCUGAAAUGCAGCAACUGCCCUGGAAGACUCGAGGUGACUGUGCAAGGAGGAGCUGCAGACGGCGUGCCUUGUGGGUCUGGAGGCAGGACUGGAGCCCCAGAGCAGGUGCGGCCGUAAAAAGAAAAAAAGGUUCCCUGAGGGUGAUGCCUGAUGUGGCCCGCUGUCUGGGGUACAGGCUCCUAGUCCACCCCCAGAGGAAAGAAGAGAAAAGAAGAAAACAAGCCUCUUGGUCCCGCUUCGGCCCUGCUCUGUACUGUCCUCACGGGGUUACUUAGCCCUCGGCGAGGAAGCAGACGCCCACCGUACGCACAUCUGGGUCUACCUGCCUCCCGUGAAGCAAGCCCUCUGUUCCUGGUCUGAUUUCUGCAGCCUCAGUCAGACCCAGGCCACCUGCUCGGGAAUCUAGAAGACAGAGGAUGGAUAAACAACAAGCAGCUACUGUCGAGCACGGGGAAUCAUAGCCAACAUCCUGUAAUAAUAAGCCUUAAUGGAAAAGAAUAAACAAAGGAAAGUAUGUAUAUACUGAAUCA
RNAcentral lists this long non-coding RNA (1465 nucleotides) under Sus scrofa (pig). RNAcentral's name for it is "lncRNA (ENSSSCG00070001442.1)". Lineage: Eukaryota; Metazoa; Chordata; Mammalia; Artiodactyla; Suidae. The record is from RNAcentral.